This is a long non-coding RNA of Saccostrea cuccullata (small rock oyster), 727 nucleotides long. RefSeq lists it as uncharacterized. The transcript is spliced from 4 exons. Lineage: Eukaryota; Metazoa; Mollusca; Bivalvia; Ostreida; Ostreidae. The record is from RefSeq and is a predicted model, not a curated record.
CUUGGCUGAUCUUCAAUGCGUGCUAAUAUAUUUAGAUUCCGGAAGAAUAUUUUUUAAAGAUACUCCCAGUAGAUGUUGAUUUAUCGGAUGUACCUGCAUGCCAGGUAUUCGAGGAUGUCGUAUAAGUAGAUGCAUGAACGACAAGGAACCAAGAGACUUUACCAUUAGCUAAAUAUGGCUAAUUAGACAAAUUUGGAAAACAUAAAGGUAAUAAUUUCAAGGAAUGGAAUUGGCACGUGAUAGUGAAACAUUAUUUAAAGGAUCGUUAAUUCAAUGUAAUAAUAGUUUUCCUCGACGAAAACUCAAAAAGGUUACAGUGACUCUUAGAGAAUGUCAUCGUUCCAAACCACGGUCAAAAUAUACGGGUAGAAGAGAGCUAUAUGCAGACUCCGAACCGAUUAGAGAAUACAAUUAUGCCUGUAAGUAUUUCUUAAGUAAAAACAUUUAAAUAGCUAUGAAAAAAGUAGAGGCCGAAGAGCUAAAAUAAUAUAUAUAGAUUUUUCUUCCUCUAGUUUAUUGUUCCCCCGCUGAAAGUGGGGAUAUUAAUUUUGGUAUUACUGUAUGUCUGUCUGGCUGCCUUUCUGUCCGUUGGACGGACGUCUAGCUGUAUUGCUGCUGUCUGUUACACUUUCCUUUCCACGCGAUAUCUCGAGAUGCUUUCAGCCUUUGCCAUGAAAUUUUACAUGAUAACUCCCUAUGGCAUAAAGAAGUCGCCAUUUGAUUUUGA